CUGCUGGAUGAUGUCACUGCUCCCUCCGGAGAGAAGCUGCAGACACCGAAUCCAGCCAGCGCGCGGCAAGUUGUCGUGUUCUGGGUGGGGUGGGGCGGGUGCUCAGGUCUGCCACUCACUCAGAAAAGCAGCAGGAAGACAGCUGGGCCGGGGCGGGCAGUGGCGGGGAGCGCGGUCACGUGAGGGCUGCAGCAGGUGCGUCUCGGCGGUGAGAGGCCGGGCACACGCAGGCCACGAGCAGGUCUUCAUCGUCCCGGGUGUUGGGAAAUUUUCAUGGCAUCACGUCAGGGAAAGAGCAAAGACAGCUGCAGAACGCGUCCAGUCCUGUGUCACCCGUGUCGGAGGUGUGUGUCACCCGUGUCGGAGGUGUGUGUCACCCGUGUCAGAGGUGUGUGUCACCCGUGUCGGAGGUGUGUGUGUCACCCGUGUCAGAGGUGUGUGUCACCCGUGUCGGAGGUGUGUGUGUCACCCGUGUCGGAGGUGUGUGUCACCCGUGUCGGAGGUGUGUGUCACCCGUGUCGGAGGUGUGUGUCACCCGUGUCAGAGGUGUGUGUGGAACAAGCUUCAAGCCUGUGUCACCCGUGUCAGAGGUUACAGUGAUGUCACAGAUGGGGCCGCGUGUGUGGAACGAGCCGAGCAUGCUGGGACAAAGGUGAGGGCACCAGGACUGCCAGUGGGUGUCGGGAGUCUGGCAUCCGCCGAGCUCUGGGGCACUGCCGACGCUGGGAACCCUUCCAGGUGCCACUGGCUUUUGUCUGGAGACACCGGCUGCUUGGUUCUUUGGUUCGUUCCUGGCUCCGCGGUUCAGCCAUGGGCUCCCAACACUCUUGGGGGGUCCCGCUUUCUUCUAGGCUCCUAAUGUAGCUGAGGCCUGGCCUUGGGGCCUGGGAGGACAAGCACGUCUCAAACACGGCACCGGGAAGCUGUGCACUGGCAGGGGAGCUGUGUCCACACCACAGGGGGAGCCCCUGGGGGAGGUGUGCUCACACCACCGGAGGAGUCCCCGGGGGGAGGUGUGUUCACACCACAGGGGGAGCCCCUGGGGUAGCUGUGUCCACACCACAGGGGGAGCCCCUGGGGGGAGGUGUGUUCACACCACAGGAG
This is a non-coding RNA of Oryctolagus cuniculus (rabbit), 1104 nucleotides long. NCBI's taxonomy places the organism in Eukaryota, Metazoa, Chordata, Mammalia, Lagomorpha, Leporidae. The record is from RefSeq and is a predicted model, not a curated record.